ACAAAAGGCACCAGAGUUCUUUUAUUUUUUACUCUCACUUUCAUUAGAGAAAACUUCUGAAAUUCAAGUCUUAAAAACUUCAGAAAAGAACAAAAAAGUAUAUUUCUCAGCUGGCUUCAUUUCUCUGCUCUUUGGUCUUCACUCGUUCUAUUUUUUUUUUUUUUGGAGUUUGGGUCUAUCUCUAUUCCUUCUGUUUUGCUGCUGCUGGAUACUGGCUGAUUAGUAGUUGAUCUACAUAUUUGGUUUUUCUUUGACCUUUAUUUGGUCUUGGAUCUUCUAUUGAUGAUUACUAGGUAUGUGGCUGUACCUUUGUAUUUUUCUGUUAAGAUGUUAAUCAAAGAUCUGAAUUACAUAUUAGCUUGUGAAUCCAUGUUAUUUUAUAAGAGAUUUAUCUAUACUAAUUGGUCCAGCUGUUUGUAUCUACAUUAUCAAGUUAGUAAUUUUGAUUUGAGUUCAUUCAUUACUGUUUCUGUAUUAAGUUCCAAAUUGCAAUAAAUUUGAGUUUUUCAGUCUGUUUCAUAUGACAUCUCUUUCUUACUGUUGAUGGGUAAUCUGGUUCGUAGCCCGACCCUUGGAAACCAUUGGAGUUCAUGAGCCUCUGGAGUCAAUUUGAAGUAUUGUGUGAGUUGGUCAUAAUGUUGUGUUCUGAUUGUGAGCUCAUAAGCUAGCUUAAAGUCAUAACAGUUAAGGGGUUUCUCAAUAUCCUAAAAAUUGGGAUUCUUACUAACUUUGAGAUGAUAGCUAUAGUAAUAUAUGUGUAGUUCAUUUCAAGCUGGAUUGUAUAAAGUUAAUUGUGCUUUUGAUCGUUGAUUUUUCUCAGUUCAAGCUAGAGAGUAGUCAUUCUUUGCAAGCAUGAUUUGUGAUGAUCGAAAUUUUAUUUUUCUUUAUCAUUUAGUUGCAAUCUGUAUUGUCCAUCAUGUGAAUAGUUCAUUUUAAUACCAGAAUGUACUGUUGAUCAAAUAUUGAGGUUUAGAGGUAUAAGUAAUUGUCUCUCACGAUAUAAUUGAAAUAAUGGGCCAUAUGUGACUUUGUAGAAGUUAAAAGGAAUUUUUACAUUCUUUUGCCACAUAGGAAACCUUAUUACCGUUAAUGUUUAAGGUUUGACUUAAUUACACUUAGUAUAUCAAAUUACCAAUUCUAUACCAUAAUUAAUUAUGAGUAUAAUUAAUUGUACAUUUUUACUCCUUAAUUAAAGGAAUCUACACGUUUCUCUCUCCUAACCCAUCAGUCUCACCCACGUUUUACCCUUACCCACGUUCUUUUUACCAUUUUCCAUAUUCUGAAACCAAAUUCUCCUUCUAAAUUCACAGAAAAUUAAAGAAACCCUUCAACAAAGUUGGUUCCCCAUUUUACUCCAGUUAAAGUUCAUCAAUGAAGAACAACUAAGCUCAUCAAAAUUGAAGUCAAAUCUUCAAAAUUCAUACACACAUUUACCUUCAGCUUCAAAUUUUCUCAAUGAAGAAGAACAAACCUUCAAAGAGACAAGAGAGCAGCAAUUCCACCAUUGACAGCCAUUAAAAAACUUUGAAGCUUUGAAUUCAAAUUUGGAUUUUCAAAAAUCAUUAUUUGUUUUGAUUGGGUGUUGUUGUAAAUAAUUGGGAAUAUGUUUUGGAGUUUAUAUCUCAAUUUUGAGGGGUUUUGGUGAUGAUUUAG
RNAcentral lists this long non-coding RNA (1653 nucleotides) under Nicotiana tabacum (common tobacco). RNAcentral's name for it is "long non-coding RNA (NTAB_LNC001634)". The record is from RNAcentral. Lineage: Eukaryota; Viridiplantae; Streptophyta; Magnoliopsida; Solanales; Solanaceae.